UCGUCGGGGAAGAAAAUGACUGUACCCGAAUAAGAAGGUCCGGCUAACUUCGUGCCAGCAGCCGCGGUAAUACGAAGGGACCUAGCGUAGUUCGGAAUUACUGGGCUUAAAGAGUUCGUAGGUGGUUGAAAAAGUUAGUGGUGAAAUCCCAGAGCUUAACUCUGGAACUGCCAUUAAAACUUUUCAGCUAGAGUAUGAUAGAGGAAAGCAGAAUUUCUAGUGUAGAGGUGAAAUUCGUAGAUAUUAGAAAGAAUACCAAUUGCGAAGGCAGCUUUCUGGAUCAUUACUGACACUGAGGAACGAAAGCAUGGGUAGCGAAGAGGAUUAGAUACCCUCGUAGUCCAUGCCGUAAACGAUGUGUGUUAGACGUUGGAAAUUUAUUUUCAGUGUCGCAGGGAAACCGAUAAACACACCGCCUGGGGAGUACGACCGCAAGGUUAAAACUCAAAUGAAUUGACGGGGACCCGCACAAGUAGUGGAGCAUGUGGUUUAAUUCGAAGAUACGCGCAGAACCUUACCAACACUUGACAUGUUCGUCGCGACUCUAAGAGAUUAGAGUUUUCGGUUCGGCCGGACGAAACACAGGUGCUGCAUGGCUGUCGUCAGCUCGUGUCGUGAGAUGUUGGGUUAAGUCCCGCAACGAGCGCAACCCUCACUUUUAGUUGCCAUCAUUAAGUUGGGCACUCUGAAAGAACUGCCAGUGAUAAGCUGGAGGAAGGUGGGGAUGACGUCAAGUCCUCAUGGCCCUUACGUGUUGGGCUACACACGUGCUACAAUGGUAUCUACAACAGGAAGCAAGACUGCGAAGUUAAGCAAAUCCCUAAAAGAUACCUCAGUUCGGAUUGCACUCUGCAACUCGAGUGCAUGAAGCUGGAAUUACUAGUAAUCGUGGAUCAGCGUGCCACGGUGAAUGCGUUCCCGGGUCUUGUACACACCGCCCGUCACACCAUGGGAGUUGGUUCUACCUUAAGGCAAGGUUUCAAACCCUUGACCACGGUAUAGUCAGCGACUGGGGUG
Molecule: ribosomal RNA, 1017 nt
Filed under: uncultured bacterium
Lineage: Bacteria
Description: bacterial SSU rRNA
Rfam family: Bacterial small subunit ribosomal RNA
Source: RNAcentral